UCUCCGUAGGUUAACCUGCGGAGGGAUCAUUACUGAGUGAGGGCUCACGCCCGACCUCCAACCCUUUGUGAACACAUCUUGUUGCUUCGGGGGCGACCCUGCCGGCACUCUGUCGCCGGGCGCCCCCGAAGGCCUCCCAACACUGCAUCUUUGCGUCGGAGUUUAAAACAAAUUACAAAAAACUUUCAACAACGGAUCUCUUGGUUCUGGCAUCGAUGAAGAACGCAGC
This 229-nucleotide unclassified non-coding RNA is filed under the name uncultured fungus. Its description in RNAcentral is "sequence contains ITS1, 5.8S rRNA gene". The stretch from base 181 to 229 matches the Rfam family "5.8S ribosomal RNA", at positions 1 to 49 of the family's 154-position model. Lineage: Eukaryota; Fungi. The record is from RNAcentral.